UGGGUUGUGGCUUAGCAGUAGAGCACUCGCCUACAUGUGCGAGGCCCUGGGUUCGAUCCUCAGCAUCACAU
RNAcentral lists this transfer RNA (71 nucleotides) under Ictidomys tridecemlineatus (thirteen-lined ground squirrel). Its description in RNAcentral is "Spermophilus tridecemlineatus (thirteen-lined ground squirrel) tRNA". It matches the Rfam family "tRNA". Rfam says of the family: Transfer RNA (tRNA) molecules are approximately 80 nucleotides in length. Lineage: Eukaryota; Metazoa; Chordata; Mammalia; Rodentia; Sciuridae. The record is from Rfam by way of RNAcentral.